Molecule: ribosomal RNA, 253 nt
Filed under: uncultured bacterium
Lineage: Bacteria
Description: partial 16S ribosomal RNA
Rfam family: Bacterial small subunit ribosomal RNA
Source: RNAcentral
UACGUAGGUGGCAAGCGUUAUCCGGAUUUAUUGGGCGUAAAGGGAACGCAGGCGGUCUUUUAAGUCUGAUGUGAAAGCCUUCGGCUUAACCGGAGUAGUGCAUUGGAAACUGGGAGACUUGAGUGCAGAAGAGGAGAGUGGAACUCCCUGUGUAGCGGUGAAAUGCGUAGAUAUAUGGAAGAACACCAGUGGCGAAAGCGGCUCUCUGGUCUGUAACUGACGCUGAGGUUCGAAAGCGUGGGUAGCGAACAGG